Molecule: ribosomal RNA, 604 nt
Filed under: uncultured bacterium
Lineage: Bacteria
Description: bacterial SSU rRNA
Rfam family: Bacterial small subunit ribosomal RNA
Source: RNAcentral
UAGCAUACGGAGUGGCAGACGGGUGAGUAACGCGUGGGAAUCUACCCAGUGGUACGGAACAACCAGGAGAAAUUCUGGCUAAUACCGUAUACGUCCUUCGGGAGAAAGAUUUAUCGCCAUUGGAUGAGCCCGCGUCGGAUUAGCUAGUUGGUAAGGUAAUGGCUUACCAAGGCUACGAUCCGUAGCUGGUCUGAGAGGAUGAUCAGCCACAUUGGGACUGAGACACGGCCCAAACUCCUACGGGAGGCAGCAGUGGGGAAUAUUGGACAAUGGGCGCAAGCCUGAUCCAGCCAUGCCGCGUGAGUGAUGAAGGCCCUAGGGUUGUAAAGCUCUUUCAGCGGGGAAGAUAAUGACGGUACCCGCAGAAGAAGCCCCGGCUAACUUCGUGCCAGCAGCCGCGGUAAUACGAAGGGGGCUAGCGUUGUUCGGAAUCACUGGGCGUAAAGCGUACGUAGGCGGAUUGUUAAGUCAGGGGUGAAAUCCCGAGGCUCAACCUCGGAACUGCCUUUGAUACUGGCUGUCUUGAGUCCGGGAGAGGUGAGUGGAACUCCUAGUGUAGAGGUGAAAUUCGUAGAUAUUAGGAAGAACACCAGUGGCGAAGGCG